RNAcentral lists this transfer RNA (78 nucleotides) under Candidatus Bathyarchaeota archaeon. RNAcentral describes it as "tRNA-Pro". It matches the Rfam family "tRNA". Rfam says of the family: Transfer RNA (tRNA) molecules are approximately 80 nucleotides in length. Their secondary structure includes four short double-helical elements and three loops (D, anti-codon, and T loops). The record is from RNAcentral. Lineage: Archaea; Thermoproteati; Candidatus Bathyarchaeota. RNAcentral also lists the same sequence under 1 other name.
GGGGUCGUGGUCUAGCUUGGUUAGGAUCCCAGCCUGGGGCGCUGGAGGUCCGGGGUUCAAAUCCCCGCGACCCCACCA